ACGUAGGGUCCGAGCGUUGUCCGGAUUUAUUGGGCGUAAAGAGCGUGUAGGCGGCUUUACAGGUCCGUUGUGAAAACUCGAGGCUCAACCUCGAGAUGUCGGCGGAAACCAUCUGGCUAGAGUCCGGAAGAGGAGAGUGGAAUUCCUGGUGUAGCGGUGAAAUGCGCAGAUAUCAGGAAGAACACCCGUGGCUAAGGCGGCUCUCUAGUACGGUACUGACGCUGAGACGCGAAAGCGUGGGGAGCGAACAGGA
This 253-nucleotide ribosomal RNA is filed under the name uncultured prokaryote. Its description in RNAcentral is "partial 16S ribosomal RNA". It matches the Rfam family "Bacterial small subunit ribosomal RNA", at positions 525 to 777 of the family's 1533-position model. The record is from RNAcentral.